Molecule: long non-coding RNA, 461 nt
Organism: Spea bombifrons (plains spadefoot toad)
Lineage: Eukaryota; Metazoa; Chordata; Amphibia; Anura; Pelobatidae
Exons: 2
Source: RefSeq, a predicted model, not a curated record
UCCUAAUCCCAACUCUACUCCUCAAUACGGCCAACCUCAAACCAUUAGCAAUGUGGUGGUGAAUUCUCAGCCUGCUGUGAUAGGCGUAUCUCCUCUUCGUGCGACCUACAGUGAUUACUUGGGAUUGUCCAUCUUCAAUCUUCUCUGCUGCUGCUGCCCCCUUGGGAUCGUUGCUCUGGUUUAUUCUUGCAAGACCCAAGGCUCCUUGGCACGCGGGGACAUGGCUUCUGCUUCCAGUGAGUCGCGGACGACGUUUAUUUUGAACAUGGUAGCCCUGGGAGUAGGAAUUGCUGUGAACAUCAUUUGGAUAGCGCUCGUUAGUUACUACACAACAAGAGUCUACACUUAUUCCAAUUCAACCUUAAAUGGCUCCACUUCAUACUAUCCUGACUAACGCUAAUCCCUGAAUCCUCAUCCCAAAUAAAUCAUCAUUUUAUAUUAAAUAUAUCAGAUGCUGAAAA